Chelonia mydas (Green sea turtle) is the source of this 688-nucleotide long non-coding RNA. RefSeq lists it as uncharacterized. Lineage: Eukaryota; Metazoa; Chordata; Testudines; Cheloniidae. The transcript is spliced from 3 exons. The record is from RefSeq and is a predicted model, not a curated record.
AUCACAUAGCUAAUAGUGGGUCCCUAGAACAAGGGAGCAGCUGUUCAGUGAGGUAAACCUGAGGUUGGUGUCCCAGAAGGGGAGUAGAGCUGGCUAGGACUGGGAAGCUGCAAGAAGCAGGAUUACCUGGGACCACUGCGACGGGAGGCUGUGGAAUCUUAGGACAAAUAGUGAGCUGAAGAACUGAAUUUUGUUUGUUAUGUGCUCAUGUAUGGGGACAAGUAAACCUACUUAAAGGAGACCAACUAUAGCAGUGAAUACUUGUUAAGCUGGGGAAAAGGCCUUCUGCAUUACAACUUCCACUGAAACCCAAGGGAUUUGCACCAUUGCAAGUGAGGGUAUCCUAGUGACCAGGCUGGAGGGCCAAGUCAUACAGAGGAAGCAGGAGCCAAAAGGGCUGCAGGGUGAGAGAAGAUGAUAGAUGAAGAGAAUGCCAGAGGAGGGUGCAGCCCCUUGAAGGAGCUAAGGCCUAGAGUGGCGAGGAAGAGGCACCCAUAGUGAAGAACAGUUACCACCAUCUUUAACCGCACUUAGGAGACUGUCAAACAAGGGAGCUUUCUCUUCUACAACUCUCUCCAGCUAACGGAACAAAAAAUGCUGUUAAAAUGAAAGCUGUACUUAAUACUUCAGAUACUUUAACUGUUUUCCUCUUUCUGUAUCUUUUAAUAAAAGUUAAAAAGACUUUUAA